Molecule: non-coding RNA, 73 nt
Organism: Ciona savignyi (Pacific transparent sea squirt)
Lineage: Eukaryota; Metazoa; Chordata; Ascidiacea; Phlebobranchia; Cionidae
Source: Rfam
GGUCCUGUGCCCCAUUGGAUAAGGCGCCAGACUACGAAUCAGGAGAUUCCAGGUUCGAGUCCUGGCAGGAUCG